UACACAUGCAGUCGAACGGUAACAGGUCUUCGGAUGCUGACGAGUGGCGAACGGGUGAGUAAUACAUCGGAACGUGCCCGAUCGUGGGGGAUAACGCAGCGAAAGCUGUGCUAAUACCGCAUACGAUCUACGGAUGAAAGCGGGGGAUCGCAAGACCUCGCGCGGACGGAGCGGCCGAUGGCAGAUUAGGUAGUUGGUGGGAUAAAAGCUUACCAAGCCGACGAUCUGUAGCUGGUCUGAGAGGACGACCAGCCACACUGGGACUGAGACACGGCCCAGACUCCUACGGGAGGCAGCAGUGGGGAAUUUUGGACAAUGGGCGAAAGCCUGAUCCAGCCAUGCCGCGUGCAGGAUGAAGGCCUUCGGGUUGUAAACUGCUUUUGUACGGAACGAAAAAGUCUUCUCUAAUACAGGGGGCGAAUGACGGUACCGUAAGAAUAAGCACCGGCUAACUACGUGCCAGCAGCCGCGGUAAUACGUAGGGUGCGAGCGUUAAUCGGAAUUACUGGGCGUAAAGCGUGCGCAGGCGGUUAUAUAAGACAGAUGUGAAAUCCCCGGGCUCAACCUGGGAACUGCAUUAGUGACUGUAUAGCUAGAGUGCGGCAGAGGGGGAUGGAAUUCCGCGUGUAGCA
RNAcentral lists this ribosomal RNA (632 nucleotides) under bacterium 189_oclvp280. RNAcentral's name for it is "bacterial SSU rRNA". It matches the Rfam family "Bacterial small subunit ribosomal RNA", at positions 50 to 680 of the family's 1533-position model. RNAcentral also lists the same sequence under 1 other name. The record is from RNAcentral.